This 435-nucleotide ribosomal RNA is filed under the name Allobates femoralis group sp. ABGD cluster 9. RNAcentral's name for it is "partial large subunit ribosomal RNA". It matches the Rfam family "Bacterial large subunit ribosomal RNA", at positions 1808 to 2466 of the family's 2925-position model. The record is from RNAcentral. Lineage: Eukaryota; Metazoa; Chordata; Amphibia; Anura; Aromobatidae.
CAAAAACAUCGCCUCUUGAUUAACCAUAAGAGGUCAAGCCUGCCCAGUGACAUUGUUCAACGGCCGCGGUAUCCUAACCGUGCGAAGGUAGCGUAAUCACUUGUCCUUUAAAUAAGGACUAGUAUGAACGGCUUCACGAAGGCUAUACUGUCUCCUUAAUCUAAUCAGUUAAACUAAUCUCCCCGUGAAGAAGCGGGGAUUCAUUUAUAAGACGAGAAGACCCUAUGGAGCUUUAAACAUCUAAGACACUUGAUUACACCCACUAAACUUCAUGUAACCUAUCAUUUUGUCUUAAGUUUUAGGUUGGGGUGACCACGGAGAAAAAUUGAACCUCCACGUAGAAAGAAAAUUCUUUUCUAAGCAAAAAGCCACAUCUUAACGCAUCAAUAUAUUGACUUAAAUUGACCCAAUUUCUUGCUCAACGAACCAAGUUAC